CGGAUUGCAGGCUGCAACCCGCCUGUAUGAAGUUGGAAUCGCUAGUAAUCGCGGAUCAGCAUGCCGCGGUGAAUACGUUCCCGGGCCUUGUACACACCGCCCGUCACACCAUGAGAGUCGGGAACACCCGAAGUCCGUAGCCUAACCGCAAGGAGGGCGCGGCCGAAGGUGGGUUCGAUAAUUGGGGUGAAGUCGUAACAAGGUAGC
Molecule: ribosomal RNA, 207 nt
Filed under: uncultured bacterium
Lineage: Bacteria
Description: partial 16S ribosomal RNA
Rfam family: Bacterial small subunit ribosomal RNA
Source: RNAcentral